RNAcentral lists this transfer RNA (71 nucleotides) under Marmota monax (woodchuck). It matches the Rfam family "tRNA". Rfam says of the family: Transfer RNA (tRNA) molecules are approximately 80 nucleotides in length. Their secondary structure includes four short double-helical elements and three loops (D, anti-codon, and T loops). Lineage: Eukaryota; Metazoa; Chordata; Mammalia; Rodentia; Sciuridae. The record is from Rfam by way of RNAcentral.
GUGGGUGUGGCUCAGUGGCAGAGCGCUUGCCUAGCACGUGUGAGGCACUGGGUUCGAUCCUCAGCACCACA